UGAUGCUCACUGACAACAUCAACAUGGAAGUUCAACUGUACCAUAUGGCGGGGUAUGUGGUCAACCUUGAGGCCUAUACCAAUAUCCUCCAUGAGGAGGUGCACCAGCUGCACAAUGCCCUCAACCCACCCGAGGCUCCUGAAGCAGCAGAGGAAGGACCAGUUGUCAUCCAAGUGGAUAGUGAUACUUCUGAGGAUGAAGCAGAAGAGCCAGGAACUCCCACUCCAGAUGAGGAUGUUACCACAAGUGGGUCGGAUAUGGAUGACGACUAGGUGUUGAGAAGGCAAGGAGUAUGACCUAGUG
RNAcentral lists this long non-coding RNA (303 nucleotides) under Sorghum bicolor (sorghum). RNAcentral describes it as "long non-coding RNA (SBIC_LNC010465)". The record is from RNAcentral. Lineage: Eukaryota; Viridiplantae; Streptophyta; Magnoliopsida; Poales; Poaceae.